This 664-nucleotide ribosomal RNA is filed under the name Bacillus cereus. Its description in RNAcentral is "bacterial SSU rRNA". It matches the Rfam family "Bacterial small subunit ribosomal RNA", at positions 62 to 706 of the family's 1533-position model. Lineage: Bacteria; Bacillati; Bacillota; Bacilli; Caryophanales; Bacillaceae. The record is from RNAcentral.
UCGAGCGAAUGGAUUAAGAGCUUGCUCUUAUGAAGUUAGCGGCGGACGGGUGAGUAACACGUGGGUAACCUGCCCAUAAGACUGGGAUAACUCCGGGAAACCGGGGCUAAUACCGGAUAACAUUUUGAACUGCAUGGUUCGAAAUUGAAAGGCGGCUUCGGCUGUCACUUAUGGAUGGACCCGCGUCGCAUUAGCUAGUUGGUGAGGUAACGGCUCACCAAGGCAACGAUGCGUAGCCGACCUGAGAGGGUGAUCGGCCACACUGGGACUGAGACACGGCCCAGACUCCUACGGGAGGCAGCAGUAGGGAAUCUUCCGCAAUGGACGAAAGUCUGACGGAGCAACGCCGCGUGAGUGAUGAAGGCUUUCGGGUCGUAAAACUCUGUUGUUAGGGAAGAACAAGUGCUAGUUGAAUAAGCUGGCACCUUGACGGUACCUAACCAAAAAGCCACGGCUAACUACGUGCCAGCAGCCGCGGUAAUACGUAGGUGGCAAGCGUUAUCCGGAAUUAUUGGGCGUAAAGCGCGCGCAGGUGGUUUCUUAAGUCUGAUGUGAAAGCCCACGGCUCAACCGUGGAGGGUCAUUGGAAACUGGGAGACUUGAGUGCAGAAGAGGAAAGUGGAAUUCCAUGUGUAGCGGUGAAAUGCGUAGAGAUAUGGAGGAA